UAUGUACUCCCUGCGUCCUAAAUUUUUUGUCUUAAAUUUGUCUAAAUAUGAAUGUAUCUAGUCACAUUUUAGUAUUUAGAUACAUUUAUUUCUAGUCAAGCUUAAGAUAAGAAUUUUGGAACUGAAGGAGUACUAU
Molecule: microRNA precursor, 136 nt
Filed under: Hordeum vulgare
Lineage: Eukaryota; Viridiplantae; Streptophyta; Magnoliopsida; Poales; Poaceae
Description: microRNA MIR1122
Rfam family: MIR1120/MIR1122 microRNA precursor family
Source: RNAcentral